GUGUCAGCAGCCGCGCGGUAAUACGUAGGUGGCAAGCGUUAUCCGGAAUUAUUGGGCGUAAAGCGCGCGCAGGUGGUUUCUUAAGUCUGAUGUGAAAGCCCACGGCUCAACCGUGGAGGGUCAUUGGAAACUGGGAGACUUGAGUGCAGAAGAGGAAAGUGGAAUUCCAUGUGUAGCGGUGAAAUGCGUAGAGAUAUGGAGGAACACCAGUGGCGAAGGCGACUUUCUGGUCUGUAACUGACACUGAGGCGCGAAAGCGUGGGGAGUAAACAGGAUUAGAUACCCUGGUAGUCCACGCCGUAAACGAUGAGUGCUAAGUGUUAGAGGGUUUCCGCCCUUUAGUGCUGAAGUUAACGCAUUAAGCACUCCGCCUGGGGAGUACGGCCGCAAGGCUGAAACUCAAAGGAAUUGACGGGGGCCCGCACAAGCGGUGGAGCAUGUGGUUUAAUUCGAAGCAACGCGAAGAACCUUACCAGGUCUUGACAUCCUCUGAAAACCCUAGAGAUAGGGCUUCUCCUUCGGGAGCAGAGUGACAGGUGGUGCAUGGUUGUCGUCAGCUCGUGUCGUGAGAUGUUGGGUUAAGUCCCGCAACGAGCGCAACCCUUGAUCUUAGUUGCCAUCAUUAAGUUGGGCACUCUAAGGUGACUGCCGGUGACAAACCGGAGGAAGGUGGGGAUGACGUCAAAUCAUCAUGCCCCUUAUGACCUGGGCUACACACGUGCUACAAUGGACGGUACAAAGAGCUGCAAGACCGCGAGGUGGAGCUAAUCUCAUAAAACCGUUCUCAGUUCGGAUUGUAGGCUGCAACUCGCCUACAUGAAGCUGGGAAUCGCUAGUAAUCGCGAUCAGCAUGGCCGCGGUGAAUACGUUUCCCGGGCCUUGCACACACCGGCCCGGUCAAAUCCCUUAUGACUAGU
This 917-nucleotide ribosomal RNA is filed under the name uncultured bacterium. RNAcentral describes it as "bacterial SSU rRNA". It matches the Rfam family "Bacterial small subunit ribosomal RNA", at positions 505 to 1533 of the family's 1533-position model. The record is from RNAcentral.